AUAACCUUAUUGUAUGCCUGAAUACUAUGAUCGCAAGAUUGAAACUCAAAAGGCUUGGCUGUUCACUGUUUGAAUCAGAGGAGCGUGUAAUUUAAUACGAUGAUCCGCGUGUCACCUUACCUUUCCUUGAAAGCGGUGUAAGCCGCUCAGGCAUUGCAUGGCCGUCGUCAGGAUAACAAUAAAUGUUAUCCUUAACCCUAUUAUGGAUUAAGUCAGGUGUCAUGGUCUUUAUGGAAAGGGAUAUUAUGCGCUACAUUCUCCUACACAAUAUAUAUAUAGUAAAUUAGGAGGCGGAGAUUCUCUGAAAUGGGAAUCUUAAGUAGGAUUUGAUAGUAAUCGGGAAGUAGAGCGUUCCGGUGAAUUAUAACCCAGUGUUAGCACAAAUCGCCCGUCGUCCCCUUCAAGUUAAGGAUACGAGACGCCCCUAAGAAGGUUAUCCCUCCUUUUCGAGAAUGGGUAAGUCGUAACAUAGUAAGGGUAAGGGAACUUGUUCUUG
RNAcentral lists this ribosomal RNA (496 nucleotides) under Keratoisis grayi. Its description in RNAcentral is "partial 12S ribosomal RNA". It matches the Rfam family "Bacterial small subunit ribosomal RNA", at positions 874 to 1520 of the family's 1533-position model. Lineage: Eukaryota; Metazoa; Cnidaria; Anthozoa; Scleralcyonacea; Keratoisididae. The record is from RNAcentral.